AGGUAAGGUAAGAUGGCCGAAUGUUAAGGCGUUAGGCUGUAGUCCUCUUCACAGAG
RNAcentral lists this transfer RNA (56 nucleotides) under Spheniscus magellanicus (Magellanic penguin). RNAcentral describes it as "partial tRNA-Tyr". Lineage: Eukaryota; Metazoa; Chordata; Aves; Sphenisciformes; Spheniscidae. The record is from RNAcentral.